CGAUCGUCUAUUGACUGAGUCACGGAGCGUCUGUGAAUGGAGAAUGGAUCUCUGGUGCAAAGACGGGAAAGCAACCAGAGAGGCAAAAGUCCACAGAGGCAGCCAAAACCACAUAUCUACAAUAGAAAACGAAUAAACAAAACCAGCAAUAGAGUACCAGAGAUUCUACUCAAGUGACCUCUCAAAUGAAAGCUGACGACAUCUCUUGGAACAAAAAUAGGCUAUGUUGAAUUAAAGAAUAGACCAGUAAGGAUUUGAUUUGUUAGACAUGAAGAUGUUCCGAAAUCAAAGCAAAACAGAAAAAAAGGAUUUUUAGGUGUGCAUUUCAGUUUGGCAGUUCCUCAGGUGACAAGCAGUAAGUGUUUAAUAAGUUAAUCACCAUUGUGUCCAGUAUAAUUGGUUACAAGGAUCAAAUUUGUCUAGAUUACAGAAUGUCUAGAUCAGCCUAAAACUCAGAUUAUCUAUGACAUUCAAUUAAAAUCAAUUCAGUCUAAUUUACAAGUAGCCUACUUUACCUGAAGUCAAACUGUAUCAGUGUGUUUAGAGUUAGCAUGCAGGGGUUAAUACUGUAAACUGUAUCAGUGUGUUUAGAGUUAGCAUCCAGGGGUUAAUACUGUAAACUGUUGUACAAAUGAUCUGCUGCCCAUAUUCCGUAUGAUUUUUUCAGUUCAUUGAGUAGUCAGUAUACAAAACAGUCCUUCUAGAAAUUUAAAUCUGCAUUGUUUUUUUUCCAGAACUUGAACGAAAUUGAUAGUUGUCCCCGUCCUCCU
Long non-coding RNA from Alosa alosa (allis shad), 770 nucleotides. RefSeq lists it as uncharacterized. The transcript is spliced from 3 exons. The record is from RefSeq and is a predicted model, not a curated record. Lineage: Eukaryota; Metazoa; Chordata; Actinopteri; Clupeiformes; Clupeidae.